This 506-nucleotide ribosomal RNA is filed under the name uncultured bacterium. Its description in RNAcentral is "partial 16S ribosomal RNA". It matches the Rfam family "Bacterial small subunit ribosomal RNA", at positions 28 to 522 of the family's 1533-position model. The record is from RNAcentral.
GACGGACGCUGGCGGCGUGCCUAACACAUGCAAGUCGAACGGAAAACAUAGCAAUAUGUUUUUAGUGGCGAACGGGUGAGUAACGCGUAGACAACCAGCCUUUUUGUGGGGGACAACACUUCGAAAGGAGUGCUAAUACCGCAUACGCUCCAGAUGCCGCCUGGUGUUUGGAGGAAAGGAGCUGUAAGGCUUCGCAAAAAGACGGGUCUGCGUCUGAUUAGCUAGUUGGAGGGGUAACGGCCCACCAAGGCGACGAUCAGUAGCCGGUCUGAGAGGAUGGACGGCCGCACUGGGACUGAGACACGGCCCAGACUCCUACGGGAGGCAGCAGUGGGGAAUCUUCCGCAAUGGACAAAAGUCUGACGGAGCGACGCCGCGUAAGUGAUGAAGGCCCUUGGGUCGUAAAGCUCUGUCAUCAGGGACGAACGGUCACGUCAGGAAAUGGGCGUGAAUUGACGGUACCUGAGAAGGAAGCCACGGCUAACUACGUGCCAGCCGCCGCGGUA